RNAcentral lists this ribosomal RNA (443 nucleotides) under uncultured bacterium. RNAcentral's name for it is "partial 16S ribosomal RNA". It matches the Rfam family "Bacterial small subunit ribosomal RNA", at positions 338 to 795 of the family's 1533-position model. The record is from RNAcentral.
CCUACGGGGGACAGCAGUGGGGAAUAUUGGACAAUGGGGGGAACCCUGAUCCAGCGACGCCGCGUGUGUGAAGAAGUAUUUCGGUAUGUAAAGCUCUAUCAGCAGGGAAGAAAGAAAUGACGGUACCUGACUUAGAAGCCCCGGCUAACUACGGGCCAGCAGCCGCGGUAAUCCGUAGGGGGCAAGCGUUAUCCGGAUUUACUGGGUGUAAAGGGAGCGUAUACGGCGAUGCAAGUCUGAAGUGAAAGGCGGGGGCCCAACCCCCGGAGUGCGUUGGAAACUGUAUGGCUGGAGUGCAGGAGAGGUAAGUGGAAGUCCUAGUGUAGCGGUGAAAUGCGUAGAUAUGAGGAGGAACACCAGUGGCGAAGGCGGCUUACUGGACUGUAACUGACGUUGAGGCUCGAAAGCGUGGGGAGCAAACAGGAUUAGAUACCCUAGUAGUC